This 203-nucleotide ribosomal RNA is filed under the name uncultured bacterium. RNAcentral's name for it is "partial 16S ribosomal RNA". It matches the Rfam family "Bacterial small subunit ribosomal RNA", at positions 1299 to 1500 of the family's 1533-position model. The record is from RNAcentral.
UGCAGGCUGCAACCCGCCCUGCAUGAAGUUGGAAUCGCUAGUAAUCGCGGAUCAGCAUGCCGCGGUGAAUACGUUCCCGGGCCUUGUACACACCGCCCGUCACACCAUGAGAGCCGGGAACACCCGAAGUCCGUAGUCUAACCGCAAGGAGGACGCGGCCGAAGGUGGGUUUGGUAAUUGGGGUGAAGUCGUAACAAGGUAUC